Molecule: non-coding RNA, 627 nt
Organism: Amborella trichopoda
Lineage: Eukaryota; Viridiplantae; Streptophyta; Magnoliopsida; Amborellales; Amborellaceae
Source: RefSeq, a predicted model, not a curated record
CUUUCCCACGAAAUACCCUCUCUCCCCUUCCCAUGGAGCAGUAGUGCUUCUCCCCAUUCCUAUCCCGUCUAUCGCUCUCUCACCGCUACUGCACCAGGUCCAUCUCUGUCAAUCUCACUCAUCUGCACCAUAUGCGUCUCUCGCUCUCCCACCGCUGCUGCACCAGGUCCAUAUUGUCAAUCUCACUCACAUGCACCAUAUCCGGAGAACCAGUAGGAAGGCAUAUGCUUCAACAUCAGUGUCAUUCGUAAAGUUGUGUUCUACUUGGGCGUCGGUGGGAAGAGGGCACUUUCAUCUACAAGACUGCACAAUAUUCGAGCCAACAACAUCUAACUUCAAGUCACUGAUCAAGUUAUUAGAGAAUCAACAAUAUUUGAUUGCCUAUGGGAAUUCUGAGAAGCAUCUAAUGAUAGCCAUGUUAGCUCUAAGUUUAGUGAUCCAUGUUGAGUAAAGUGUACUUCUCAAUCUUACAUGUAUAUUUCUUUCUCCUCAUAAAAAAAGGAGUACUCAAUCUUACAUGUUGUAUAUUUUGUUCUCCUCAUAAAAAAGGAGUAAACGUGUAAUCAUAGUAAGAUGUACUCAUCAAUCUUAAUAUACUCUAUUUGAAUCAAAGGCAAUUUUGUUAUA